CGUAGGUGGCAAGCGUUGUCCGGAUUUAUUGGGCGUAAAGCGAGCGCAGGCGGUUCCUUAAGUCUGAUGUGAAAGCCCCCGGCUCAACCGGGGAGGGUCAUUGGAAACUGGGGAACUUGAGUGCAGAAGAGGAGAGUGGAAUUCCAUGUGUAGCGGUGAAAUGCGUAGAUAUAUGGAGGAACACCAGUGGCGAAGGCGACUCUCUGGUCUGUAACUGACGCUGAGGCUCGAAAGCGUGGGGUAGCAAACAGGAUU
Molecule: ribosomal RNA, 255 nt
Filed under: uncultured bacterium
Lineage: Bacteria
Description: partial 16S ribosomal RNA
Rfam family: Bacterial small subunit ribosomal RNA
Source: RNAcentral